AUUAGAGUUUGAUCCUGGCUCAGAUUGAACGCUGGCGGCAGGCCUAACACAUGCAAGUCGAGCGGUAACAGGAAUUAGCUUGCUAAUUCGCUGACGAGCGGCGGACGGGUGAGUAAUGCCUGGGAAUAUGCCUUAGUGUGGGGGAUAACUAUUGGAAACGAUAGCUAAUACCGCAUAAUGUCUUCGGACCAAAGAGGGGGAUCUUCGGACCUCUCGCCCUAAGAUUAGCCCAGGUGAGAUUAGCUUGUUGGUGAGGUAAGAGCUCACCAAGGCGACGAUCUCUAGCUGGUCUGAGAGGAUGAUCAGCCACACUGGAACUGAGACACGGUCCAGACUCCUACGGGAGGCAGCAGUGGGGAAUAUUGCACAAUGGGCGAAAGCCUGAUGCAGCCAUGCCGCGUGUAUGAAGAAGGCCUUCGGGUUAAAAUGUACUUUCAGUCGUGAGGAAGGGUGUGUAGUUAAUAGCUGCACAUCUGACGUAGCNACAGAGAGCCUC
RNAcentral lists this ribosomal RNA (496 nucleotides) under uncultured bacterium. Its description in RNAcentral is "bacterial SSU rRNA". It matches the Rfam family "Bacterial small subunit ribosomal RNA", at positions 1 to 494 of the family's 1533-position model. The record is from RNAcentral.